CGGGGUGCACCAGGCGCGAAAACUUUACAAUGCGGGAAACCGUGAUAAGGGGACACCGAGUGCCAGCAUCAUAUGCUGGCUGUCCGGGUGUGUAAAAUACACCUGUUAGCAAGGGCCGGGCAAGACCGGUGCCAGCCGCCGCGGUAACACCGGCGGCCCGAGUGGUGAUCGUGAUUAUUGGGUCUAAAGGGUCCGUAGCCGGUUUGGUCAGUCCUCCGGGAAAUCUGAUAGCUCAACUAUUAGGCUUUCGGGGGAUACUGCCAGACUUGGAACCGGGAGAGGUAAGAGGUACUACAGGGGUAGGAGUGAAAUCUUGUAAUCCCUGUGGGACCACCUGUGGCGAAGGCGUCUUACCAGAACGGGUUCGACGGUGAGGGACGAAAGCUGGGGGCACGAACCGGAUUAGAUACCCGGGUAGUCCCAGCCGUAAACGAUGCUCGCUAGGUGUCAGGCAUGGCGCGACCGUGUCUGGUGCCGCAGGGAAGCCGUGAAGCGAGCCACCUGGGAAGUACGGCCGCAAGGCUGAAACUUAAAGGAAUUGGCGGGGGAGCACAAGGGCGAAUCGC
Molecule: ribosomal RNA, 566 nt
Filed under: uncultured archaeon
Lineage: Archaea
Description: bacterial SSU rRNA
Rfam family: Archaeal small subunit ribosomal RNA
Source: RNAcentral